Molecule: long non-coding RNA, 1011 nt
Filed under: Cottoperca gobio
Lineage: Eukaryota; Metazoa; Chordata; Actinopteri; Perciformes; Bovichtidae
Description: lncRNA (ENSCGOG00000014457.1)
Source: RNAcentral
CCCAGCCUGAUGGUGGCGCUCUGCAGGUCCAGAACCCUGUGCCUGCAGCAACUGGUGGAUGCAGUGGGGCCGGCGCUGAGUGAUGCCCGAGCCCUGGGCUUGCUGCUGGGUCUGACCUCCGUUCGAGUGGCUGAGAGGAUUCUGGAGCUGUGGAGCCAGAGGCUAUCGGGGAAGGAGAAGAGGAUAAUAAAAGACUACAGUGACGGGAAGGCUUCUCCAGACCCAGCAGACCCUUUUCCAGAGAUCAACCUGAGCCCAGGGCUGGGAGAACUGACCGGUCCCCUGCUCAAGGUCAUUAACCCGGCAGGACUGACGCUGCACAGAGCCGACAAAAAGACUCUAUAUAUGAACUGUGUCAAAAGCAUCCACAAGAAAGGCCUGUGCAGCAGACCCUCCACUGUGUGGAGCAACAGACUGGGUUCAGGAAGUGGACCAAGCCCACAGUGGGGGUCUUUUUACAAACCUCCCCUCAAAAAGCGGACAGCCGACCUCCAGUGGAGGAUUUUACAUGGUGCCGUCGCUUGUAACGCUUUUAUCGCCGUUAUUAAUCCCGCUGUUUUUAACAAAUGCCCUUUCUGCAACUUACGUGAGACUGUAUUCCAUGUUUUUACUGAGUGUAAGAGACUCACAGAGUUUUUCUCUCUUUUAACAUUGGUUUUUAGUCUUUUUAACGUAGUUUUUACCGAGAGUGUUUUUAUCAUGGGAGCUGCCUACAAAAAAGACAACAAAGAAAAGUGGCAGCUUCUAAAUUUCCUCUCGGGAGAGGCAAAAAUGGCGAUAUAUAUAAGCAGAAAAACAGAGUUGAGAACAGAGAGGGGCAGGAGGCCAAGACAGUGUGGCUGUGCAAUAUCAGGGCAAGACUCUGGCUCGAUUUUAGGUGUCACAAACAUACCGGGGAUCUCGACACUUUUAAAGAACGUUGGUGUUUUAAAAAUAUUAUCUGCACUGUGAACAAUGAAUGUUUACACUUGCACAGGUUUUUAUUGGAUAAUUUUUAUAUAUUUAUAGAGU